RNAcentral lists this ribosomal RNA (301 nucleotides) under uncultured bacterium. RNAcentral describes it as "partial 16S ribosomal RNA". It matches the Rfam family "Bacterial small subunit ribosomal RNA", at positions 509 to 809 of the family's 1533-position model. The record is from RNAcentral.
CAGCCGCCGCGGGAAUACGGAGGGUGCAAGCGUUAUCCGGAUUUAUUGGGUUUAAAGGGUCCGUAGGCGGAUCUGUAAGUCAGAGGUGAAAUCUCACAGCUUAACUGUGAAACUGCCAUUGAUACUGCAGGUCUUGAGUAAAUUUGAAGUGGCUGGAAUAAGUAGUGUAGCGGUGAAAUGCAUAGAUAUUACUUAGAACACCAAUUGCGAAGGCAGGUCACUAAGAUUUAACUGACGCUGAUGGACGAAAGCGUGGGGAGCGAACAGGAUUAGAGACCCCUGUAGUCCCUGUCUCUUAUAU